This 469-nucleotide ribosomal RNA is filed under the name uncultured bacterium. RNAcentral describes it as "bacterial SSU rRNA". It matches the Rfam family "Bacterial small subunit ribosomal RNA", at positions 32 to 518 of the family's 1533-position model. The record is from RNAcentral.
AACGCUGGCGGCGUGCCUAACACAUGCAAGUCGAGCGAGGAGAUCCUUCGGGAUGAUCCUAGCGGCGGACGGGUGAGUAACACGUGGGCAACCUGCCUCAUAGAGAGGAAUAGCCUUCCGAAAGGGAGAUUAAUACCUCAUAACAUUGCAGUUUCGCAUGGAACAGCAAUUAAAGGAGUAAUCCGCUAUGAGAUGGGCCCGCGGCGCAUUAGCUAGUUGGUGAGGUAAUGGCUCACCAAGGCGACGAUGCGUAGCCGACCUGAGAGGGUGAUCGGCCACAUUGGGACUGAGACACGGCCCAGACUCCUACGGGAGGCAGCAGUGGGGAAUAUUGCACAAUGGGGGAAACCCUGAUGCAAGCAACGCCGCGUGAGUGAUGACGGCCUUCGGGUUGUAAAGCUCUGUCUUCAGGGACGAUAAUGACGGUACCUGAGGAGGAAGCCACGGCUAACUACGUGCCAGCCGCUGC